UGAGACGUCGUGACAUAUUGAUC
Molecule: non-coding RNA, 23 nt
Filed under: Arabidopsis thaliana (thale cress)
Lineage: Eukaryota; Viridiplantae; Streptophyta; Magnoliopsida; Brassicales; Brassicaceae
Source: RNAcentral